This 302-nucleotide unclassified non-coding RNA is filed under the name Zea mays. Its description in RNAcentral is "misc RNA Zm00001eb201550". The record is from RNAcentral. Lineage: Eukaryota; Viridiplantae; Streptophyta; Magnoliopsida; Poales; Poaceae.
GCGUCGAGCACGUCGGACGGUGCCUGGGUGGAGCAACACCUCCAGAGCUCCAUGCCCCGGUCACCGGCGCCAUGGAUGCUGCCGCCGCCUUUCUCGGGCGCCACCGCAUCCCGGAUAGCGUUGAGGCAGACCACCAGGAACUUGGACAGCCGGUCGAAGUCCCCGUGGCCCUCAUCCACGCCCGUCGCCCUUCGCCAUCUCGGCUGUGCUGGCUAGGUCGCUUCGGCGAGAUAGCCGCCAACCGUCGGGGAGUGGAGGGGUGGGAGGUCGACAGGAGCACGAGCAGUUGGGCGGUUCUUGGC